AAAAAAAAAAGGCCUGUCAAUUGCAUACAACAUCGGAAUAGAAUGCUAUAGUCCUCCUUUGGCAAUCCUGGACGCUGAGAAGUUCCACAUCAAACACUUCGAACUGCUUUGAACUGAAAAAUGUGGAAGGUCCUACCUGCAGAUAAACAAAACAGUCUCUUGUCAAUACAAAAUACGACCAAAUCUAUGUUUUCUCCCAAUCUGGCUUGCAAGGUUAAACAAGUUAUAAUUGGUUAUUGUGAAACAUUAAAGGUGGGGUAGGAGUUGUAUCACGGGAUCAUUUCGAUGAGUGUUGGACUUGGUCUGGUACAGAAUUGUCAAAACAGCAAGUUACAAAAUUGUCAAAACAACUCCUAUUCAUACUGGAGAAGUAAAUAGGGUUAUGGCUGUUCUUAUGGGAAAGUUAGGCCUUUGCCAAGCAGCAAUUACAACAGAAGCAUCAUCAGUGUUGCUCUGUGUCCUAGCAACCAUUUGAAAUCACUGGAGUUUGGAUUCUCUAUUUCUCAAUAAAAAAGAAAAAUCUUUAAGUAAUAUGUGCAGUGCAUGCAAUAUUUUCACAAAACAUUUAACAUAUAAAAGUGAAAAAAGAAGACUGACAAUAAUAAUGUUGAAAGAGACAAAAUGCAGUUGUGGGGGGGUGGGGUGUGGUGUGGCGGUGGGUGUGGUGGGGUGGGGAGAGUGGUGUGUGGCAUAUUGAAGAUAAACUGACCGGCGGUCCAAGUUCUGGAGGAAUGAUCAUUCUUCUCUUCCCCCCAGGCCUCAUAUCUCGAAUUCCUUCUUCAAAUCCUGCAUAAAUUUUUUCCUUUCAUCUACUACUUUCAUUGUAUACAUUUCUUUGAUAUGCAAAAAGGAAAAACAGGUUUAGGGGAGGAGUGUAACGAAGCUCCUUAUCAUGUAGUCCAGAAAGAAGGUAGACAAAACCAUAAUAAUUUCUAGAAUGUCUGUUCACCUGGAACUAAUGCGUUAGUGCCCAUGCGGAUUUUGGCAGGAGAGCCCUGUAAGUAGGUACUGUCAAUGCGACGGCCUGACUCGUUAUAUCCAAUAUAGUGGAAAGUCACCUGCAAAGGUUAUUAAGUCAACUCCAGCUCAAGAAUAGAAGAUAGAAAUUUUACAGAUUCACUUGAAAAAGGUACACCUUAUUCGGGAAAGAGAGUGUGGGUUGCAGAUUGAUUGGUAACUGGUUACAAAUUAUGAAAGUCUUACCGAAAAAAAUGUCUAUAAAAGAUAUUUGAUGCAUCUGUGCAACUAUAAAACCUACCUAGUUUACAUUCUUCCUUGCUAAUACGGAAUGCAAAUCCAAGGAUUUACGUGUUCCCAUCAUUUGAAGCAAUAAACUUUAUAUGUCACUAAAACUCUUCCAGGAAUGAUUCACAAUUUAAGCUGCAUUUUUUAAUAUAUAGAGUGAAAUUAUGCUUGUAAUUUCACAAGUGCAAUGAAGAAGCAAAUGGCACCUCAUUCCUCAGAAAAGUUAUAUUUCAAAUUGCAUUAGACAAAAUGGCAACUAUUCUACCUCUAGCACUCAUUUUCUAAACGGUUUUGUGAUUACCAAAUCCAAAUACAGAAUAGGGAAACAAGCUGUGACUUUGAAAGAAAAACCUGUUGACCAGCCUUUGGGCAAUCACCUUUACCAACUUCAAAAUCUCGGUAUAUAAGCCCAGAGUCACGCUUUAUAUAGUUCUCUGAUGCCACUACUUUAACCUCAAAACCUUCUCUAAUAAAAUUUGGAAAGUCUGCAGGUGCAUUGUUUUCUUUCUGCAUCCGUUUGUUCUGCUCUAAUAAACGUUUUUCAUCAUAUGGGUUCUUACUCUUUGUCUUUCCCAAAGAAGGCAAAGUUUGAAACAAGCCUGAUGAGGCAGAAAAGAAAAGGAUGAUCCUACGCCUGCAUUUCUCUUCAAAAUGUAAUUCAUGUCCAUUCUGCAUGCUUCUAUCACUGAAAUUGUGACAGCAACGCACUAUAUGCUUCUUUGAUGCAAAGAGGUUUCCUAAAUUGGAACAAGAUGAAAGGGUUCUAUCUGCCGGAAAGUGCAAGUAAGUAUCUCAACAUAUGAUAUGAAUAGGGAAAAAUAAACCAUGUUCCUUAUUUUGAAACAUAGUUCAUUGUUGUACAGACCCAGAAAACCAUAAACACCAGAAAUUAGCAACUCGGAAAUUAGUGUUCCAUGGAAUUUAGACGAAUUAACAAUGGAUUUAGUGAAAGAAAAGAAGAAAUAAGGUCGUCAGAAUUUUAUCUAGAAAGAGAGUGAUAAUGGGAUCAAAUUUUUCUCAAAUACCAGUAAGCCCAGAAAAUGCGAAGAAUCCCCUAUUGGAGCAUCUCACAGACAGAUGUAGAGAGGGAGACAGCGGAAGUUGCUUACAAGGAGGAGAGGACGAAAGCAUACUCAUCAGCAUCGCUUUUGUGAAGCAAAGGACAGCCUUUUCCUGUUUGAAGUGUUCAACUCCUCUCCGGUUAUCUUGAAUUUGGCUUCUGGAAA
RNAcentral lists this unclassified non-coding RNA (2471 nucleotides) under Hevea brasiliensis (rubber tree). Lineage: Eukaryota; Viridiplantae; Streptophyta; Magnoliopsida; Malpighiales; Euphorbiaceae. The record is from RNAcentral.